Molecule: unclassified non-coding RNA, 274 nt
Filed under: uncultured Russula
Lineage: Eukaryota; Fungi; Basidiomycota; Agaricomycetes; Russulales; Russulaceae
Description: sequence contains ITS2
Source: RNAcentral
AAUCUUCAGAAACCCUUUUCUCUUUGAACCAUUGUGGUCGGGAAAGGGAUUUUUGGACUUGGAGGUUUAAUGCUCGCCCUUUCUUUCGAAAGCGAGCUCCUCUCAAAUGAAUUAGUGGGGUCCGCUUUGCUGAUCCUUAACGUGAUAAGAUGUUUCUACGUUUUGGAUUUGGCACUGUCCUUUGGAUGCCUGCUUCUAACCGUCUCGCGGACAAUGAUGGUGCUCCGGUCACCGCCGUCUACAUCGGCGGGAGGCUGGACCCACAAAAAGAAAA